This 99-nucleotide signal recognition particle RNA is filed under the name Phycisphaerae bacterium. RNAcentral's name for it is "signal recognition particle sRNA small type". It matches the Rfam family "Bacterial small signal recognition particle RNA". From Rfam's summary of the family: The signal recognition particle (SRP) is a universally conserved ribonucleoprotein involved in the co-translational targeting of proteins to membranes. Archaeal SRP consists of a 7S RNA and homologues of the eukaryotic SRP19 and SRP54 proteins. Lineage: Bacteria; Pseudomonadati; Planctomycetota; Phycisphaerae. The record is from RNAcentral.
CGGUCGGGCCGGGGCAGUGCGUCGGUCGGACAACGGGUCAGGUCCGGAAGGAAGCAGCCCAGCCGGCGUGGCCCACGUGCCUCGUCCACCCGGCCGAAA